RNAcentral lists this ribosomal RNA (450 nucleotides) under uncultured bacterium. Its description in RNAcentral is "partial 16S ribosomal RNA". It matches the Rfam family "Bacterial small subunit ribosomal RNA", at positions 354 to 796 of the family's 1533-position model. The record is from RNAcentral.
GUGGGGAAUUUUGGACAAUGGGCGCAAGCCUGAUCCAGCAAUGCCGCGUGCAGGAAGAAGGCCUUCGGGUUGUAAACUGCUUUUGUACGGAACGAAACGGUCCUGGUUAAUACCUGGGGCUAAUGACGGUACUGUAAGAAUAAGCACCGGCUAACUACGUGCCAGCAGCCGCGGUAAUACGUAGGGUGCGAGCGUUAAUCGGAAUUACUGGGCGUAAAGCGUGCGCAGGCGGUGCUGUAAGACAGGCGUGAAAUCCCCGGGCUCAACCUGGGAAUUGCGCUUGUGACUGCAGUGCUGGAGUACGGCAGAGGGGGAUGGAAUUCCGCGUGUAGCAGUGAAAUGCGUAGAUAUGCGGAGGAACACCGAUGGCGAAGGCAAUCCCCUGGACCUGUACUGACGCUCAUGCACGAAAGCGUGGGGAGCAAACAGGAUUAGAAACCCGAGUAGUCC